Molecule: unclassified non-coding RNA, 395 nt
Filed under: Helianthus pauciflorus subsp. pauciflorus
Lineage: Eukaryota; Viridiplantae; Streptophyta; Magnoliopsida; Asterales; Asteraceae
Description: partial trnH-psbA intergenic spacer
Source: RNAcentral
CUCUACUAUUAUCUAGUAUUACUAUAUUUUUCCAUUAACAUAAAAAAGCAUAUUCUUUCUCAUUUUUAUUGAAUAAAUAAAAGUAAUAAAUAAGCAAAAUUUUCAUUUUUAUCUAUUUUCAAUUGAAUUUAAAUUGUAAAAAAAAAACUUCAUAAAAGAUUAGGAAAAGUAAAAGUAUAUGAUAUAGAAACCUUUAAUAUAAAUGAAUACAAAUAAAAACAAACAAAUCGAACCAAACUAUAAAAAGUACUUGUUAUUUUUAAAGUUUAAAGAAACUAUGUAAGGCAAAUAGUACUAAAUAAAAAAAAGGAGCAAUAACGCCCUCUUGUUUUAUCAAGAGGGAAGCUAUUGCUCCUUUUUUAGUUCAAAAACUCCUAUACAAUCAGACCAAAGUC